This 253-nucleotide ribosomal RNA is filed under the name uncultured bacterium. Its description in RNAcentral is "partial 16S ribosomal RNA". It matches the Rfam family "Bacterial small subunit ribosomal RNA", at positions 524 to 776 of the family's 1533-position model. The record is from RNAcentral.
AACAGAGGAUGCAAGCGUUAUCCGGAAUUAUUGGGCGUAAAGUGUCUGUAGGUGGCUUUUCAAGUCCGUCGUCAAAUCCCAGGGCUCAACCCUGGACAGGCGGUGGAAACUAUCAAGCUAGAGUACGGUAGAGGCAGAGGGAAUUUCCGGUGGAGCGGUGAAAUGCGUUGAGAUCGGGAGGAACACCAAGGGCGAAAGCACUCUGCUGGGCCGUUACUGACACUCAGAGACGAAAGCUAGGGGAGCAAAUGGG